ACAGAAAGGCAGUUCAAUAGAAGGAAAACCUUUCUCACUACUCAAAGUAUCCAAAAUUAGACAUGUCCUGAAGUUAUGAAGUCUUCCAAGAGAGGCUAAAUGGCCUCUUAUUGAGGAUGUUAUAAAUAAGAUUUGUGAAUUAGGCCAAACCUAAUGAGUUUACAAUUCUAGAUUUAUAAUUUGUCUGAAGAGAUACUGAACUAUUUUCUAGUUAUGCAGUAUUUUUAUGAAGAAACUGAGGACAUUUGAUGCCCAUGAAAACUCUUUACCGAGCCACUUAGUUUGAGCAAGACACAAUGGGUUCUCUUUUCUUCUGCUUGUCUACCAUACUUCUCCCAUAGCCCUCCCCUCUUUGUCACCAGUUCCCCAAAUACCAAGUCUUGCAAUUGGUCAAAAGCCUGGUCUCUGUUUCUUGAGGAGGACCUGAGGUCUGCCGUUAGGACUCUCCAGCAAGAAGAAAGAGAAGUUCUGGGGAAGAUGAGAAUCCUUUUCAGGUCACAGAAUCUGGAAUCCCAGU
Molecule: long non-coding RNA, 517 nt
Filed under: Monodelphis domestica (gray short-tailed opossum)
Lineage: Eukaryota; Metazoa; Chordata; Mammalia; Didelphimorphia; Didelphidae
Description: lncRNA (ENSMODG00000036899.1)
Source: RNAcentral